AUUGAACGCUGGCGGCAGGCCUAACACAUGCAAGUCGAACGGUAGCACAGAGGAGCUUGCUCCUUGGGUGACGAGUGGCGGACGGGUGAGUAAUGUCUGGGAGACUGCCCGAUGGAGGGGGAUAACUACUGGAAACGGUAGCUAAUACCGCAUAAUGUCGCGAGACCAAAGUGGGGGACCUUCGGGCCGUCAUACCAUCGGAUGUGCCCAGAUGGGAUUAG
This 221-nucleotide ribosomal RNA is filed under the name uncultured bacterium. RNAcentral describes it as "partial 16S ribosomal RNA". It matches the Rfam family "Bacterial small subunit ribosomal RNA", at positions 30 to 244 of the family's 1533-position model. The record is from RNAcentral.